UUAUAGAGUGGCGAACGGGUGAGUAACACGUGACCAACCUGCCCCAGACAUCGGGACAACCAUUGGAAACGAUGGCUAAUACCGAAUACACUCUUCCUUCCUCAUGGCGGGAAGAGGAAAGCUCAGGCGGUCUGGGAUGGGGUCGCGGCCCAUCAGGUAGUAGGCGGGGUAACGGCCCACCUAGCUUAUGACGGGUAGCCGGACUGAGAGGUCGACCGGCCACACUGGGACUGAGAUACGGCCCAGACUCCUACGGGAGGCAGCAG
RNAcentral lists this ribosomal RNA (266 nucleotides) under uncultured bacterium. Its description in RNAcentral is "partial 16S ribosomal RNA". It matches the Rfam family "Bacterial small subunit ribosomal RNA", at positions 88 to 354 of the family's 1533-position model. The record is from RNAcentral.